AUCUUACUUUUUUUCCUUUUUUCUUUUUUUUUCUUUUUUUUUUUAAAUAGAAUCUUUGUAGGAUCUGGUUCCUUUAAUAUUGGUCACAGUGAUUAAGUAACAAACAGAAAUUCAGCAUUGCCCUUGCUCUGAGCAGGAGGUAAGAUCACAUGACUCUAGGUUCCUUCCAAUUUGAACAAUUUUAUGGUAAUUGCCAAAAACUAACAAAACAAUCAAAAAACAGCCACUGGUAUCUUACUCAAUCAAGUUUAGAACCUGAGAAGGUGAGACAAAGGAACUAAGUAUUACAGCCCCUAGUUUUCAGACAGGAAAUCUGAAGACCAGAAAGAUUAAGUGACUCAGCCAAAGCCCCAGGGAAAUUUGGCCAGACUGGGAGAUAAUCCCAGAUCUUCCAAGUUCCAGGCAAGUACCCUCAAUUCAAGACAAAGCUUCUUACCAAAUAUUUUGAGCUGGACACAAAUUUUCAGUACUCAAAGUGGAUUAUAAGGAAAACAAUUUCUUAUCCAAGGGUUGCAAUCCACUUGCCUUUUUUAAUUCCUUUUACUUUUGCAUGUAGUAGUGUGGUAAAUCACUAGAUCAACAGAUGUUCGGGUUUUUUUGUUUGUUUGUUUGUUUUGUUUUUUUUGAGCAUAUACGUUCAGGUACAAGUACUAUCGUUAACAAGCCCAUCCAGCUGCCUGUACGUGUAAGGAAAUAUGCCUGGCUUUAACCUUUUUCUUACUGUGAUGGAAGACAAACCACGUACUGUCAGUAUGGCACACAGUUGAACACCACAGCUUGGUCUUAACUAAUUAUAUGACACAUAAAGGAUAGUCAGGUAGGGUUACAAGCCUGUUAUUUUAUUAAAAGGCAUUUAUGACAUUAACCAUCAUUAUAAGAACCUACAGAUGAAAUUACACACUUGAUAAUUACCCUUAAGGUAUCUCUUAAUAUAUUAGCUCUGUAUAAUAUAUAUGGUAAUUUUAAAAAAGUCAUUGUUGAAUACCAGAGAGAUCAUAUUAGCCCGUAAUACAGAUGAUAAUUCAGAAAGUCACAGGCAGUGAUUAAAAUAACCAGAUUACUCAGUGUCAUGGGCCAGAUUUUAUUCCCUCUAGCAAUGAAAGAAGCUCACGCAUCCCUAUCUCUCUAGAUGUUAGGAGGACAGUGCAUAUGAGUAAGCUGCUGUUCAUGGUCACCAGGCCAGAAUGCAGCCCGUUCUGACAGACCGUGGAUGUCUUUAUGAAAAGCAUCAAGUGGAGUUCUGAACUGCUCUGGCAUUUAGGUGAAAUAUUUCAAUGCAAACACCACUGAAAGAUUUGAGAAUGUGUGGGAGAUCAUUUGGCAUAAACACUAUUUCACUGAAAGGGGACACAGGGGCUCUUUGGCACACAGCAAACAGAAACGUUUUUAAAAGCACUGCUUGUUGAAGCAAACGCCCUCUUGCCAACUGCAAAUCAAUGCUUUUGGCUGGUUCUGUUCUGAGAACAUCACAACUCUACGUCUUUGAAAGCUUAAUGGUUUUUGACAUCAAAUUAAAACCUGUUGGAAAAGGACAAAUCUUAGGGGUCAAACAGUUGUGAGUUAUACAAACACCACAUCAUGAAACCAGAGGCACCGAUGGCUUAGCAGAACAAUUGCCAGCUGAAGAAAUACAACCAGAAAAAGACCACGCGGUCAAACAGCAACGACACAGUGUAACAGAGGAAUAACAACCACAAAAGUGGUCCCAUAAAAUCCAGAUGAGAAUUCGUAUGAGUCCUGGUUUCACAUCUCUGAUGCCAUGCAGUAGCCAGAAAUGCCUCAAGGCAGCAUCAGCACUGCUUAGAAGUGCUUUGUGAGGCAGGAUGGAGGACAGUGGCCUCCCAGCCUCACGUCCCUGCCUGGCAUCUUUCACUGCAACAACAGAGCUUGUCCCAGUGCAGCACGUCCAAGGUGCUGCUUACACUUCCUUUCUACUUAGUUUGGAAAAUAACUCACAUUGUUAGAAUGAACAGAAGUAUCUCUAAAGCAUCAAAGGCUUGAGAGAACUUCCCAAACCCUUAUUUGGUCAAAAUUCUCAGAAACGCCUCAAAAUGAGGGGGAAGAAAAUGAAAGGCCCAAACUUGUAGAAUGGUAUUUGCGAGCAGAACUUGAUGAGGACACAAGACCCUGGAGAAUCUAAUGAGAGAGUUCUGUUGAUAUCAGAGCACACUGGAAGCAAAUAAAAUUGACAUUUUUAAUAAAUUAAUUUGUACCUAGCAUCAUUGAAAUUAUAUGAAGAUAUUGCAGAUUUCUUCUGGCAGAAACAAAGAAACAGUACUUCACUCUUGUUCAAAUAGAUGGCUUCUGCCAAGGUUUACCCUCUUUAUCUUUAGCUAAUGACAGGAAUGGAUGAAAAGGAGUCUAGAAACAUCCUUCACUGAAAGAGUUAAACAACCAAACCCUUAAGCAUGCCUUCUUAGCCUGAUUUUACCAUCUUUACAUACUUAAUUGUCGAGCACGUCUUAAACCUGUAGAGUAACACUUUAAGAUGUUUUACUGUUUAUUCUACUCAUUCAUUUCAAUCGUACACUAUUAUUAAGUACUUCCUUAGUAAAACUACAUUUAUUCAAUCUAAUAUCAUAUGAUGUUAUGAACUAGACAGAUUUCUCAUCAGCAACCUGAAUACUGUUCCUAACCAAUACCGCACCUGGUUUUCUUCUUCUGUGCAGGAGGGAAGAAAUAUCUGUGUAUCAUCUUCCUUACAGUUUACUUCACCUCUGUCAAACAAGCUUCUCGGGACUUCUUCCCACCUGUGUUAUUUGCAAAGCCAAAAACAAGCUGUGUAGAGUUGACAGCUACAAAAUCCUCUGCAGGUCCAUGACCUGCAGAAAUGUAAAUGCUCUUAGGAAUACCCUGUUGUGAACAUGUUUGAUUUUCCUGCUAUCCUACCAACAAGCUCUAAAGGUGGAUGAUGUAGGUGGAAGAGAAGUGUAGCUAUAAUUGUUUUCAAUAAAUGAAAUUAUACAAGCAGAAUGAAAACAAUCUAAAACCAGAAAGCUUACAGUAUUCACCGCAGCAAUAGUGUCAAAACAUAUACUGUGACAAGAAUCAUCAUUUGAAGGCAUUUUCAAACCUAGCAGGAAAAAUGCUCUAUACGUAUCUGUAAUCUUUUUACAUGACACACUGAAAGGGUAAUGAAAAAAUACCAUCCGUAUUACACAGCUGGUGCCACCACCACCCAGCAAGCCCAUGAUCAAAUACCAACAGGACACUUUGUGAGAGUUACAAGUAACCUUAGACCCAGACAAUGAAAAGGGAUCUGUUUGUAAAAAUGACACUUUACAGCCUGAUCCAAAGCACACCAUGCCGUGCAAUUUGCAGUGUGAUCUGUGAGGCUGGGGUUCUCUAGCUCCACUUACAACUUGGUACGUCCAAAUUAGAGCUAUGCAGAUCUCAGAAUUAUUGAAGUAUAAAAUGUCCAGACAGUAAUAAAUGUCUCACCAGAUUAAUCAGAGGGUCCACAGCAGAGCGGGACUUUUUUGUUGAAACCACCAAGAGGCAAAAAUUGAGCUGUUAAGCCAUUCGGGAUCAACUGUCCCCUUACCUCUGAGGCCAGAUUCAUCUCGCACAACCGCAGCCAUCAGCCAUGACCCACCCAUUGCCGGUACUUCCCCAUCCCUGUCAUGACACAAGUUUCCUUGCAGAAGAUGUCACUAGAAAUGUAAUUACUACUAGGACGCCUUAACAUGAAAUCACUCUCUGAAUCAGCACCUACUGCUAUUAAGAAGUCAAACAGUCACUGCAAACAGCUGAAACAUAGAUAAGUUCAGGAAGCCCCUUUGGAAUUGCAGUACUGAACAAGGAAUAGCCUUUUAUCUUCCUCAGCUGCACCCCACUGCCAGAGUCAUGUAUGAUAACAAACCUGUGCUAUACAAAUCCUUACCUGAUAUAAGUAGCAUUAAAAACACCCAGAUCCUUUCUAUUCAUGUGAUAAUGCAACUGUGAGAAUGUAAAUUCUCCUUUCAGGAACAGACACAGAUGCUUUUGCCAAGGCUUCAAUUAGUGCUAAAGGUCUUUUGUCCUUGCCUGCACAAUUACUAACCUGACCUGGCUGGCCCACGUGUUAUACAUUUCACACUGCAGCAGGGAAACUAAUAGCAAUGCUGAGGGGCAGAAAAACAGGCUUUAGGUGAAGGCGGCUUUGUUCCAAGAAGGGAGGUGGACAGGAAAGAUGUAAAUGGGCACUGGGAGCUUAACUCCACUAAGAGUUUCCUUCCUAUUACUCUGCAGCCUUGAUAAUUUUCUAUAUAAUAGCCAGGGGAGAAAAUCAGCAGUAAAACUAGCUGAGGUGAAUCCUGCUCUCUUCCCACUGGCUUACUCUCAGAGCUGGCUAGGAAUAAUACAGAACAGAAAUUGCCUUGUUGAACAGACAAUGAGUUAGUAACUGAGAGCUAUAGGAGAAGAAAGACUUUCUGAUUUUGUUAUGGCUGUUUGUGAAGUCUCCAGGACUGUGGACAAACAGAUCAUGUAUGGUCAUUUCAGGACAGUCAGGCACGGCCAUGCUCUUUCCACAAGAAAAAUGACAGCCUGGAAAAUGAGGUAAUAUGUAAAUGGCAAAAAGUGAGGUGGGACAGUAGAAAGGAGACUGUGUGUCAAAAAAUCCAAGGGAAGAGAGAAAAAAACAUGAUGGGACAGCUCUGUGACCUACCAAGUGCUGCGCUGAAGCAAGAAGUAUCAAAUCGGUUCAUAAAAUACGAGGCCUUCUAGUGCUGCGGACAUCUAUAGAAGACUCACCAACAUGGAGUUAGUGGUGGAAAUAAAAGAAUGAAAGGACUUUUUAAAAAAGCACAAUGAAGCUUUUCUGGGAAGUUAUGGCUCUGUUCCCUAGGAUGUCUUGCCUUUAAGAUGUGGUCACAAUUUGCUGUUUUCUUACUUUACCACCAACAUUAUUUUCUGCAGCUGUCAUUUGUCUCCCAGUUCCUGAGGGCAGUUUUUGAGUGCAGCCUCCAUUUGUACAGCUCGCAGUGCUAAGAGCUGCAAGUACAGACUGUUUCAGAUGCUGGUUUUUGAUUUCUUUCACUUUCCUGGACUUUUCAGAGUCCCACGCUCCAGCUGAGGAUGCUUCUGGAUUCCUCACAAAGGUUGCAGCUGUAGUUCAGGGGAUGUCCAACUCUCUGAAUUGACAGCCUCGCCUGAGAGCUCUUUCCGUGAGGCUCAUUUCAGGAAAAAAGGCAUUCAUUCAACAGAUUUCAAGCAGAGAGAAUGUUGAUCUUAACCCAUCUUCAGCAAGCAUAAAGAAAUUAAGAACAGACUUUCUUCAAUAAUAACUUCCACCCACCAAAGCCAGCACACAUGGCAGAUCCAUCAAACAGGUAAUGCGAAGAAGAAAAUUUCAAGCCCAACUCAAAUCUCACGGACAUUAAUCUCCAGCCUUGGAGACUGCCCUCUUUUCAUCCUAAUAACUUGAGGCUAGCUUAAUAACAGGAAUCACUACAGAAAGCUUGAAAUGAUCAUCUUUCCCCCUGCUCACCCCAUGGAAGAAGUAUAAUUUUACCCGGGGCUAAAUAUGCUUUCAAGGAAAACGCGGUGCCCUUUGUUGUCAUGAGCAACCAGAAUCAUCUAAGUAGCUGUUACUCCAGAGAUAGCUGUGGGAGGGAAAAACUGACACUGCUCUGAAAUACACUGACUCAGCUGCAGAGGUGUGAUUUGUUAUGUAGGUCUGCUUGUGAAGCUGGGUCUGAAGGCCGUCCUCACAGCCAAGGGGAAGCGAGGGAUGCUAACAACUUUAGUCCAAAGCUGGCAGACUGAGCUGGGGACUCGCACCUUCUGCUAUGUGCUCUUCCACUGGAUUAGGUGCCAAGGUUUUCUGAAAAUUUCCAGAGUUCAGCCAACUCAGGUAAAUUGGCGAGGGAGAUCCACUGCUGUAUCCUGGCCUGGAUUGUUGGCCUUUUUGGUAAAUGGUAGACAAAGAAAACUUCUGUCUAGCAUAUGACAUAGCCAUGGCCAGGAACAGGCAGUGAAACUUUGCAAGACUUGCAUGCCAAGCUGUGUGACAAAAGCAGUGUAAAAGCUGUGUAUUCAUAGUCACUGAUAAUCCCUUUUCUCAGAGUCCUGCAGUGGCUUUGCUAAAUGGCUUCUGGACUACAUAGUUCAGAGAACAGAAAAGCUAUCUCAAACCUAUCUGUAUUUGACUUAGGAGACAGGAUGCCAGCACAGCUGGAUUAUUACCCCUAUGGAAAGAUAACUAGUAUGAAUACGACUCCUGGGCAUCUAACUCAAGCUGGUUCUGCCAUGAGAAAUUAGCGGUGAUGUUCUGCACACAGGUUAAUCCUGUAUCUCUCGUCUGUCUGCUCACACACAGGAGUAUGACUGCACAUCACCCAACUCAGCCGAAGCACAAAAUCAACAUGAGCUGGCUUCUUACCAACCACAGGAGGUCACAUGCUACCUGUGGCAGUAUAAACACGCUGGCAGUAUAAACACGCAUCAAAAGAACAAACUUUUUGGGGGAAGAAAAGUCUAUACCAGGUCUAUGCUCUGCAUCAUGCACCUGCUGCGGUAUAUCUGAUCCAGAAAUAGGAUUCCUAAAGCAUGAUUUACUGCUUUGCUGAGCUAUGGCCCAACACACAAAAUAAAAAAGAUACUAAGGCAUAACGCAUCAAAACAAAGUCAAGAAGCAAAAAGGAAAGGAAAGAGGCGAUGAGGCUAAAAUUUAGAUGAGAAUUACAGGACAAAUGCAGGCUACUCCACAGUGACGUGUGAUUCAUAAAGGGGGAGUGAGGAGGUAGAAAAAAGAGAAGCAAGUUCAUAAGCUUAUGGCAUUUCCAAGCAUAACUGACUGGGCUGAGAAGCCAUUCUGAUGGGCCCAGACCCCCUUCAACCCUAAAUUAAAAUCUCAGGAGUGUCUUCUCAGCCCCUUCAAAGCACAGAUAAAUGGGUUACCACUGAACUGAGGUUGUAGUGUCCUUAAAACUAAGCUAUCUGUCCCGGGUGGGUGUUGAGUUCCUAAGGUGUCACCAGAAGGAGAGAGUGUUCCACUGUCAUCAUCAAACAUCUCCCCUGCCUGACCUGCUGCAAGAAGUAUGAGUUGCCUCCCUGCCUCCCUCAAAUUAUGCAGAUAUCUAGAUGAGCUGGUGCUGAACAUAAGAAGUCUGCAAAGCACUUCAUGUUCCUCCCAUGAAAGAUGUUACAUAAAUAUAUAAAGCAGCAUAAGUAAUGAGAGACAAGGCAAGCAUUUCAAUACUGCCCGCAUUGUGUCUCUGAGUUCUGGUCCCAUGUACAGGCACAGCUGCUACACGGGCUUUUAGGAGAAAAUUCACUCUUACACAUGAAGUUCCUCAGGGAGGCAGCUGUGGGGUUGUAUCCAAUCUCUGUUUUGUAGUUGACCCAGACACUCACCGCAGUGAUUCCUUAAGACAACUGAGCCCAAGGUGCUCUCCUACAGCAGUUUUAGAGCCUCCACCCUGAGCAAGCUGUGUAUGUGACAUGUCCCAGCCUCCUGGGCUGAGUGGACACAGGCUACAGCAGUCUCCUAUUCCCAACGUGCUCAAGAGGACAGGGAUGUUUUCCUUUUACCUCUGAAGAAAAUGACCAGGGCUCAGCUUACUGCACUGCAGCCCCAAGAGGUGAGAGAAACUGCAGGAUGUGGCUCUGCUUAUAAUAAGGGUAUCACCAGUAAGGACACGGUAAUGUGGAUACAGCUCUGCAGCUCCUCCACACCCUCGCUAAGCCAACAAAGAUGAGAUGCACAGAUGUGCUGUGCAGCAGAGACAUGCCAAGAGGGUUUCUGACCCUCCAAUUACUGCCCAGGACCAACAGCUGUAAUAGCAAAAACUUAAUAAAGUCAGGGACUUGUGAGUAAAGGGUCACCCCGGCACUUUGAUAAAGUACUUAGCAUCUGAUGCCUCCCUGCUAGCUCUGCAGUAUCUGCUUCUCACAAGGGCCUAUGAAGGUGACCACACAAACCAGUCAGGUGUUUUCAAGAGACUGUCCUUUGGGUGCACUGCCCAUGCAAGAGGCGAAAAAAAGCAAGACAAAUGUACCAAGGGUCCCUGUGUAAGCAGAGGACCAACUGCUCAGACACAGAUUUCUGUUCUACCAUGGGGAUGCCCUUCCCUAGAUGUACCGAAGGACCUGGGCUCUGCGAGUCAGAAUUUAAUGCCUGCUGUGUCUGGUAACACUGACACAACUCACCUUCAUCCAGCAAGCCAAGAAGUACUUAGCACUGCUUCAGCUGCUAUGUGUUGCCAACAUCCUUCACUGUAAAAAAAGCCUUUAAGUAAGAACUGCCUAAAAACAAACUUACCACUGCAAAACUCCCCUUGCUGGGUAAUAAACACUCACUGCCAAGUAACUCCAGCUAAGAGGCUGGCGGGAACACAGACCCUAUGACAAAGAUUGGGAAUUACUGUUUCCAAAGUGAAUCCUGGUAAUCUGGGCUACACAUGCCAGGAGCAGAAUGUACCUGUCCUCUGAUCUGGGGAGUGCUCGGAGACUUCAGGUGUCAGCUCGCAGUGGGUCACCAACUCCUGACAAGUGUCUGAUGUUUUUCAAAGGGGCAGCCAAAGGGAGAGGUAUCAGUGCAUUAAUGGUUUCAAAGAGUUUCCGACUGCUGUUCUCUCUCGGCCCCAAUGCUAGAGCUAGCUGAGCUCCAGCUUCUUGCUCUGAAGCAGCAGACAGACUGAGCUUGGAGAGUUGGCAGCAUCCGGAACAACGCCUUUCCCACCCCUACACUGCCCUCCUGCCAAUACAAUUACAGUCGGGAGAGUAUAUUGUGUAGUGCGUUCACUCUCUCCAAGAAAGUGUAUUUAAAAUGGAUUACUUCUGCUCCUUAGGCAGGCGAUCAAUAGAGAUGUGUAGUGCAAUAAGUACAGAGAUGUCUGUGGGCUGCAGCACUUAUCCUUUGUGUCUCUUCAGAAAUUAAUUAAAAAUCAAUGAAGUGUGCAGCCUAUUAAUAAGGAGCCUCCACAUUAACCAGUACAAGCCCAGCCUUCUCUCAGUUUCAGAAAGAACGCAGCCACCACGCAAACACAUCAGAAACUCGGCAGUGCUUCAGACAGCACGGCGAGGACUGUGACCUUGCACUGCUGCGCCCUGCGUCUGGCUGCACUGCGAUAUUCUCAGCUUUAUGCACCCCUAAUAAACUAUUGGUGAUGUGUUUCAAGCUGGUUAAACAGGCAGACUUGGGGCAAGCAUUUAGUCUUGAGAGAUACCGUGCUGGCUUUCUAGCUAAUGGUUGUCACAAAGCACAGUCAGCAGCACAGAGAUCCAGCAAGCACCUAACGGAGGGCUAACUGCACCUUGUAAUUCCUGGAGGUCACUCGUCGGAUCCGAGAGUACCUGACACAUUCAGCUCUCUGACUUCUUUUCCAGCAACCUGAGGACUACUCCUUGCCACCUGCUCAGUGCUUAAUUACAGCGAAGGAUGGAAUUUGCCUGGGCUUAAAAGCAUCUGGGCAGGGGCUGGAGAAAGGCGUUCUUGUCACUGGUUUCCAACGGUCAGGACCCUACCUCUGCUACUCCUUCACAGCCCAGUGUGUGCAGCGGUAGCACACAGGGCACAAAAUACAGAGCAACUUGUAAUGAAACCAGCAGUGCCAGCCCAGCCCAGGGGCCCUGUACAGCAAAGAGCAACACAUAAGCAGAGCACGAGCUUUUCCCUGCUUCCUUGAGAUGAGCUUCUAAUUAUAAACUGUGUUCAUAAACACAGUAGUAUAAUAAAUAAAAACAACCUUUAAUAAACAAGGUUUUAGAAGGUGAAAGACCGAACAGCUUAAUGAGACACAGCCUGGGACUGUUCCUAGGUCUUGGGAACCCCUAGUCCAACACCUACCUUCCCUUAUUUACGAGCCCACCUUUUGCAGACUUUUUGGGAAACAAGCACUAACCCAGUAUCAGGUAAUCAUUUCACACUCAAAGUGCACUGAUGGAAUGACAGUAUCAUUUGGAUGCAAGGUCUUCCAGCACUCACCUUAAGCUGCAUGUUAUGGUAAUAAAUAUGUGACAGAACAGGUCUUUCCUACACUCCAUGUACUCUGCCCAUUCAGAUGAGACAUUUUUGGACAGCUGAACUACUUAUUUUUCCCAUCUCUUGGGCAGUGCCCACUGAGCAUACAGGGAACGCUGCUACCUUGUGUGUUCAGACGAAAAUCCUGCAACAGGAGCACACAGCAGCUCCCAGCUUUGCACAAAGCAAAUAUGCACGUAAUUCCACCAAUGCCGCUGGAAUACCCGAGAGGGGAAUUUUUUAACCUUUUUUUCUUCUCAUUAAGCCCUACUGAUUUUUUUUUCCCCUUAGCAGACACAGCAUAGUUGGGGCUGAAUUUCUGAGGCUGGCUCCUUUACUUGAGAGAUGCCCCUGAAGCACAGCCUGCUGCAAGGGCUUUGUAGGACCACCUCUGAAGGCAUCAUUUUUGCAUAAGCAGGCACCCAAUAGAAGGGAAGGGCUGCUUCUAGAGGAAACCACCGUCUUCACAAGCUAUUCCCCUGCAAGGGCUGCCGGGCUCUUCAGGAAGAAAACUGGACCGGGGCAUGUUUACCCUCUGCUGAUACCAUUUUCUUCUCACGUGAGCACAGCCAACAGUCAGACUACUCUAUAUGAUGGCUUCUGCUUAGGAUCCAAAUAUUGUUUUACAAAAGAAAAUGGUCUGAAUUUAUUGCAGAUGCUUUUGAUACUCUGAUUCAAGUGAGUUCUUGAAUAAAUUAAAGCUUUGAACUUCCAAA
Anas platyrhynchos (mallard) is the source of this 10662-nucleotide non-coding RNA. The record is from RefSeq and is a predicted model, not a curated record. NCBI's taxonomy places the organism in Eukaryota, Metazoa, Chordata, Aves, Anseriformes, Anatidae.